CAGUAGCCACGGUAAUACGUAGGGGGCAAGCGUUAUCCGGAAUUACUGGGUGUAAAGGGAGCGUAGACGGUUAAACAAGUCUGAAGUGAAAUGCCGGGGCUCAACCCCGGAGCUGCUUUGGGAACUGUAGAACUGGAGUGUCGGAGGGGUAAGCGGAAUUCCCAGUGUAGCGGUGAAAUGCGUAGAUAUUGGGAGGAACACCGGCGGCGAAGGCGGCUUACUGGACGACAACUGACGUUGAGGCUCGAAGGCGUGGGUAGCAAACAGGAUUAGAUACCCCGGUAGUCCCUGUCUCUUAUAC
RNAcentral lists this ribosomal RNA (301 nucleotides) under uncultured bacterium. RNAcentral's name for it is "partial 16S ribosomal RNA". It matches the Rfam family "Bacterial small subunit ribosomal RNA", at positions 509 to 807 of the family's 1533-position model. The record is from RNAcentral.